GGCGCCAUCUCAUCUCACCUAGAAAAAAAUGUUAAACAACUCCUCCGAUGACCGAUCCCUCCUUUUCUAAACCCUUUAUAUACAACAACUACUCCACCUUCAUUCCUUCACUCACCAAACCAAACCAAACCCACACAUAACCCGGCCAAAUAACAAUGAGGUAUUCUUAUAAUUCUAAUAAUUUACUACUGUUGGCUUUUAAUGCCAUUUCCAUUCUCAUCUUCUUUCUUUUGCUAUCCCACCCUAUGCAUGUCGAGGGUUCGAGGCCUAUCAAAGAUCAUCAUCAUCAAUCUAAUUCUUCGCCUAAUUUUAAUUUUCCGGUGUUGGAGGAUUUCUUGAUGGGGAGAGCUUAUUCGGGGCCAAGUCACCGUGGUCGCGGCCAUUAAAGGCUAGCUAGAUAGGUAGCUUAUAUAAUUGCUUCAUGCACCAAAAUGGUGAACAGCAUAUAUAUAUAUAUAUAUAUAUAUAUAUAUAUAUAUAUAUAUAUAUAUAUAUAUAUAUAUAUAUAUAUAUAUAUAUAGGCUAGGCUUGUAAUCAGAAUAUUUCAGCAUCAAUGCAUGAUAGGCACAGCAAGUUCGCAAUAAAUAAAAAUGUCAGGACAUAUUUGUUUAAAUCAUUUUACUACUCAAUCUCAUAAAAUUGUUUGAUCCAAAAGAAAAUCUUCUAUAACUUUGCGCAUGAGGUUGAUUUGGUCCGUUACUUGAACUAAUUCUAUAUAUCAGAGUGAGAGAGCGAGAAAUUAAGAGAGAUUGCAUGUGUACAUGCGUAUGAUGAAUCAAUAUAUAUAUAUACACAGUGGCGGAACCAGAGCCUUUUUAUACGGAGGGCAAAAUUUUUUGGUAUAUUCAGAUAAUAGAUAGGAGCAUAAAUUAAAACAUUCUGGAGCUACAAACAUAAUUAUUAAAUCGUUAACACUGCAUAAAAACAUUUCUCCUAGAAUAGCUGUUAAUACGAAUACGAGAGCAUAUUAUCAUAUUGUUGACAAUUUGAGUUAAAUAAAUAUUAUAAAUUUUUUGGGAGUAAAAAAAAAAAAUUGGAGUAAAUUAGUAUACUUUUUGGGUGAAUUUAAGCAAAUAAACAUUUUCCAUCAUCAAAUAUCAACAAAAUCUGUGUAGUUAACCAUAAAUCAUACUCCAAUAUACAACUCUCUCUAUUUAUAUACUUAAAUGUUUUCUACUUUUUGGGUGGACGAUUAAGUAAAUCACUGGGUACCAGAAUGAGCUUUAGAGUCACCGCCAAAGUUGUCGGAAUUUUGCGUCUCCGGCGGAGUGAAACAAGCUAUGAAAACUUCUGCACAGAUCGGGCGGCAACCUUGACUGGGUUUCUGCCGGAAAUUGACCUCUGCGAAGAGGAUGAAGAGGAAUAGGUGGAGCUUGGGGGUGAGUAGCAUUAAGAAGAGGAAUAGGUGGAGCUUGACUGGGUUGCUUUGGAACCUUUGUUGCAGUUAAGCGUGCUAAAAAGGUUGGAAAUUAAUCACUGACCCCGCCUCCCUACCGGCGUCCGGCGUCCGGCUACCGGGGGCAACUGCCCCCACC
Molecule: long non-coding RNA, 1535 nt
Filed under: Panax ginseng (ginseng)
Lineage: Eukaryota; Viridiplantae; Streptophyta; Magnoliopsida; Apiales; Araliaceae
Description: long non-coding RNA (PGIN_LNC015198)
Source: RNAcentral